GACCCAGCGACGCCGCGUGCGGGAUGAAGNNNNNCGGGUUGUAAACCGCUUUCAGCAAGGAAGAAGCGAAAGUGACGGUACUUGCAGAAGAAGCACCGGCUAACUAUGUGCCAGCAGCCGCGGUAAUACAUAGGGUGCAAGCGUUGUCCGGAAUUAUUGGGCGUAAAGAGCUCGUAGGUGGUUCGUCACGUCGGAUGUGAAAAUCUGGGGCUUAACUCCAGACCUGCAUUCGAUACGGGCGAGCUAGAGUGUGGUAGGGGAGACUGGAAUUCCUGGUGUAGCGGUGGAAUGCGCAGAUAUCAGGAGGAACACCAAUGGCGAAGGCAGGUCUCUGGGCCAUUACUGACACUGAGGAGCGAAAGCGUGGGGAGCGAACAGGAUUAGAUACCCUGGUAGUCCACGCCGUAAACGGUGGGCACUAGUUGUGGGAACCUUCCACGGUUUCUGCGACGCAGCUAACGCAUUAAGUGCCCCGCCUGGGGAGUACGAUCGCAAGAUUAAAACUCAAAGGAAUUGACGGGGCCCCGCACAAGCAGCGGAGCAUGCGGCUUAAUUCGACGCAACGCGAAGAACCUUACCAAGGCUUGACAUAUACAGGAAUAUGGCAGAAAUGUCAUAGCCGCAAGGUCUGUAUACAGGUGGUGCAUGGUUGUCGUCAGCUCGUGUCGUGAGAUGUUGGGUUAAGUCCCGCAACGAGCGCAACCCUCGUUCUGUGUUGCCAGCAUUUAGUUGGGGACUCACAGGAGACUGCCGGGGUUAACUCGGAGGAAGGU
This 773-nucleotide ribosomal RNA is filed under the name uncultured bacterium. RNAcentral describes it as "bacterial SSU rRNA". It matches the Rfam family "Bacterial small subunit ribosomal RNA", at positions 385 to 1174 of the family's 1533-position model. The record is from RNAcentral.